AAUAUUGGACAAUGGGGGCAACCCUGACCCCGCCAUGCAUCGUGUGUUAAGUAUGUCUUCGGUUUGUAAAGCACGUUUAGUUGCGAGGAAGGUCUUUCGGCAAAUCCCCUGACGUUUUCACGUAACCAACAGAAUAGGCAUUGACUAACUCUCUGCCAGCAGCCGCGGUAAUACAGAGGGUGCAAGCGUUAAUCGGAAUUACUGGGCGUAAAGCGCGCGUAGGUGGUUCAGUAAGAUGGGUGUGAAAUCCCCGGGCUUAACCUGGGAACUGCUUUCAUAACUGCUGAGCUAGAGUACGGUAGAGGGUAGUGGAAUUUCCUGUGUAGCGGUGAAAUGCGUAGAUAUAGGAAGGAACACCAGUGGCGAAGGCGACUACCUGGACUGAUACUGACACUGAGGUGCGAAAGCGUGGGGAGCAAAC
RNAcentral lists this ribosomal RNA (421 nucleotides) under uncultured bacterium. Its description in RNAcentral is "partial 16S ribosomal RNA". It matches the Rfam family "Bacterial small subunit ribosomal RNA", at positions 360 to 773 of the family's 1533-position model. The record is from RNAcentral.